AUUGAACGCUGGCGGCAUGCUUUACACAUGCAAGUCGAACGGUAACAGGGUGCUUGCACCGCUGACGAGUGGCGAACGGGUGAGUAAUGCGUCGGAACGUGCCGAGUAGUGGGGGAUAACGCAGCGAAAGUUGUGCUAAUACCGCAUACGUACUGAGGUAGAAAGUGGGGGACCUUCGGGCCUCACGCUAUUCGAGCGGCCGACGUCUGAUUAGCUAGUAGGUGAGGUAAAGGCUCACCUAGGCGACGAUCAGUAGCGGGUCUGAGAGGAUGAUCCGGCACACUGGGACUGAGACACGGCCCAGACUCCUACGGGAGGCAGCAGUGGGGAAUUUUGGACAAUGGGCGAAAGCCUGAUCCAGCCAUGCCGCGUGUCUGAAGAAGGCCUUCGGGUUGUAAAGGACUUUUGUCAGGGAGGAAAUCCCUAGCGUUAAUACCGCUGGGGGAUGACAGUACCUGAAGAAUAAGCACCGGCUAACUACGUGCCAGCAGCCGCCGUAA
This 500-nucleotide ribosomal RNA is filed under the name uncultured bacterium. RNAcentral describes it as "partial 16S ribosomal RNA". It matches the Rfam family "Bacterial small subunit ribosomal RNA", at positions 30 to 523 of the family's 1533-position model. The record is from RNAcentral.